Molecule: ribosomal RNA, 497 nt
Filed under: uncultured bacterium
Lineage: Bacteria
Description: partial 16S ribosomal RNA
Rfam family: Bacterial small subunit ribosomal RNA
Source: RNAcentral
GAUGAACGCUGGCGGCGUGCCUAAUACAUGCCAGUCGAGCGAACAGACGAGGAGCUUGCUCCUCUGACGUUAGCGGCGGACGGGUGAGUAACACGUGGAUAACCUACCUAUAAGACUGGGAUAACUUCGGGAAACCGGAGCUAAUACCGGAUAAUAUAUUGAACCGCAUGGUUCAAUAGUGAAAGACGGUUUUGCUGUCACUUAUAGCUGGAUCCGCGCCGCAUUAGCUAGUUGGUAAGGUAACGGCUUACCAAGGCGACGAUGCGUAGCCGACCUGAGAGGGUGAUCGGCCACACUGGAACUGAGACACGGUCCAGACUCCUACGGGAGGCAGCAGUAGGGAAUCUUCCGCAAUGGGCGAAAGCCUGACGGAGCAACGCCGCGUGAGUGAUGAAGGUCUUCGGAUCGUAAAGCUCUGUUAUUAGGGAAGAACAAAUGUGUAAGUAACUAUGCACGUCUUGACGGUACCUAAUCAGAAAGCCACGGCUAACUACGUG